RNAcentral lists this ribosomal RNA (78 nucleotides) under Staphylococcus schleiferi subsp. schleiferi. RNAcentral describes it as "partial 16S ribosomal RNA". It matches the Rfam family "Bacterial small subunit ribosomal RNA", at positions 1 to 76 of the family's 1533-position model. Lineage: Bacteria; Bacillati; Bacillota; Bacilli; Caryophanales; Staphylococcaceae. The record is from RNAcentral.
CUUUUAUGGAGAGUUUGAUCCUGGCUCAGGAUGAACGCUGGCGGCGUGCCUAAUACAUGCAAGUCGAGCGAACGGACG